GGUUAAGCGACUAAGCGUACACGGUGGAUGCCCUGGCAGUCAGAGGCGAUGAAGGACGUGCUAAUCUGCGAUAAGCGUCGGUAAGGUGAUAUGAACCGUUAUAACCGGCGAUUUCCGAAUGGGGAAACCCAGUGUGUUUCGACACACUAUCAUUAACUGAAUCCAUAGGUUAAUGAGGCGAACCGGGGGAACUGAAACAUCUAAGUACCCCGAGGAAAAGAAAUCAACCGAGAUUCCCCCAGUAGCGGCGAGCGAACGGGGAGGAGCCCAGAGCCUGAAUCAGUGUGUGUGUUAGUGGAAGCGUCUGGAAAGGCGCGCGAUACAGGGUGACAGCCCCGUACACAAAAAUGCACAUAUUGUGAGCUCGAUGAGUAGGGCGGGACACGUGGUAUCCUGUCUGAAUAUGGGGGGACCAUCCUCCAAGGCUAAAUACUCCUGACUGACCGAUAGUGAACCAGUACCGUGAGGGAAAGGCGAAAAGAACCCCGGCGAGGGGAGUGAAAAAGAACCUGAAACCGUGUACGUACAAGCAGUGGGAGCACGCUUAGGCGUGUGACUGCGUACCUUUUGUAUAAUGGGUCAGCGACUUAUAUUCUGUAGCAAGGUUAACCGAAUAGGGGAGCCGAAGGGAAACCGAGUCUUAACUGGGCGUUAAGUUGCAGGGUAUAGACCCGAAACCCGGUGAUCUAGCCAUGGGCAGGUUGAAGGUUGGGUAACACUAACUGGAGGACCGAACCGACUAAUGUUGAAAAAUUAGCGGAUGACUUGUGGCUGGGGGUGAAAGGCCAAUCAAACCGGGAGAUAGCUGGUUCUCCCCGAAAGCUAUUUAGGUAGCGCCUCGUGAAUUCAUCUCCGGGGGUAGAGCACUGUUUCGGCAAGGGGGUCAUCCCGACUUACCAACCCGAUGCAAACUGCGAAUACCGGAGAAUGUUAUCACGGGAGACACACGGCGGGUGCUAACGUCCGUCGUGAAGAGGGAAACAACCCAGACCGCCAGCUAAGGUCCCAAAGUCAUGGUUAAGUGGGAAACGAUGUGGGAAGGCCCAGACAGCCAGGAUGUUGGCUUAGAAGCAGCCAUCAUUUAAAGAAAGCGUAAUAGCUCACUGGUCGAGUCGGCCUGCGCGGAAGAUGUAACGGGGCUAAACCAUGCACCGAAGCUGCGGCAGCGACACUAUGUGUUGUUGGGUAGGGGAGCGUUCUGUAAGCCUGCGAAGGUGUGCUGUGAGGCAUGCUGGAGGUAUCAGAAGUGCGAAUGCUGACAUAAGUAACGAUAAAGCGGGUGAAAAGCCCGCUCGCCGGAAGACCAAGGGUUCCUGUCCAACGUUAAUCGGGGCAGGGUGAGUCGACCCCUAAGGCGAGGCCGAAAGGCGUAGUCGAUGGGAAACAGGUUAAUAUUCCUGUACUUGGUGUUACUGCGAAGGGGGGACGGAGAAGGCUAUGUUGGCCGGGCGACGGUUGUCCCGGUUUAAGCGUGUAGGCUGGUUUUCCAGGCAAAUCCGGAAAAUCAAGGCUGAGGCGUGAUGACGAGGCACUACGGUGCUGAAGCAACAAAUGCCCUGCUUCCAGGAAAAGCCUCUAAGCAUCAGGUAACAUCAAAUCGUACCCCAAACCGACACAGGUGGUCAGGUAGAGAAUACCAAGGCGCUUGAGAGAACUCGGGUGAAGGAACUAGGCAAAAUGGUGCCGUAACUUCGGGAGAAGGCACGCUGAUAUGUAGGUGAAGCGACUUGCUCGUGGAGCUGAAAUCAGUCGAAGAUACCAGCUGGCUGCAACUGUUUAUUAAAAACACAGCACUGUGCAAACACGAAAGUGGACGUAUACGGUGUGACGCCUGCCCGGUGCCGGAAGGUUAAUUGAUGGGGUCAGCGCAAGCGAAGCUCUUGAUCGAAGCCCCGGUAAACGGCGGCCGUAACUAUAACGGUCCUAAGGUAGCGAAAUUCCUUGUCGGGUAAGUUCCGACCUGCACGAAUGGCGUAAUGAUGGCCAGGCUGUCUCCACCCGAGACUCAGUGAAAUUGAACUCGCUGUGAAGAUGCAGUGUACCCGCGGCAAGACGGAAAGACCCCGUGAACCUUUACUAUAGCUUGACACUGAACAUUGAGCCUUGAUGUGUAGGAUAGGUGGGAGGCUUGGAAGUGUGGACGCCAGUCUGCAUGGAGCCGACCUUGAAAUACCACCCUUUAAUGUUUGAUGUUCUAACGUUGACCCGUGAUCCGGGUUGCGGACAGUGUCUGGUGGGUAGUUUGACUGGGGCGGUCUCCUCCUAAAGAGUAACGGAGGAGCACGAAGGUUGGCUAAUCCUGGUCGGACAUCAGGAGGUUAGUGCAAUGGCAUAAGCCAGCUUGACUGCGAGCGUGACGGCGCGAGCAGGUGCGAAAGCAGGUCAUAGUGAUCCGGUGGUUCUGAAUGGAAGGGCCAUCGCUCAACGGAUAAAAGGUACUCCGGGGAUAACAGGCUGAUACCGCCCAAGAGUUCAUAUCGACGGCGGUGUUUGGCACCUCGAUGUCGGCUCAUCACAUCCUGGGGCUGAAGUAGGUCCCAAGGGUAUGGCUGUUCGCCAUUUAAAGUGGUACGCGAGCUGGGUUUAGAACGUCGUGAGACAGUUCGGUCCCUAUCUGCCGUGGGCGCUGGAGAACUGAGGGGGGCUGCUCCUAGUACGAGAGGACCGGAGUGGACGCAUCACUGGUGUUCGGGUUGUCAUGCCAAUGGCACUGCCCGGUAGCUAAAUGCGGAAGAGAUAAGUGCUGAAAGCAUCUAAGCACGAAACUUGCCCCGAGAUGAGUUCUCCCUGACCCUUUAAGGGUCCUGAAGGAACGUUGAAGACGACGACGUUGAUAGGCCGGGUGUGUAAGCGCAGCGAUGCGUUGAGCUAACCGGUACUAAUGAACCGUGAGGCUUAACCUU
Molecule: ribosomal RNA, 2903 nt
Filed under: Escherichia coli
Lineage: Bacteria; Pseudomonadati; Pseudomonadota; Gammaproteobacteria; Enterobacterales; Enterobacteriaceae
Description: 23S ribosomal RNA
Rfam family: Bacterial large subunit ribosomal RNA
Source: RNAcentral